CCUAGGGGGGCUGCAGUGAGGAAUAUUGGUCAAUGGGCGUAAGCCUGAACCAGCCAUCCCGCGUGCAGGAAGAAGGCGCUAUGCGUCGUAAACUGCUUUUCCAGGGGAAGAAAACCCGCUACGUGUAGUGGCUUGCCGGUACCCUGGGAAUAAGCAUCGGCUAACUCCGUGCCAGCAGCCGCGGUAAUACGGAGGAUGCGAGCGUUAUCCGGAUUUAUUGGGUGUAAAGGGUGCGUAGGCGGACAGAUGAGAAAACCUUCAGCUUAACUGGAGACUUGCCAUUGAUACUGUUAGUCUUGAGUACGGUCAAGGUAGGCGGAAUGUGUAAUGUAGCGGUGAAAUGCUUAGAUAUUACACAGAACACCGAUUGCGAAGGCAGCUUACUGGGCCAUUACUGACGCUGAUGCACGAAAGCGUGGGGAGCGAACAGGAUUAGAUACCCCGGUAGUC
RNAcentral lists this ribosomal RNA (450 nucleotides) under uncultured bacterium. RNAcentral's name for it is "partial 16S ribosomal RNA". It matches the Rfam family "Bacterial small subunit ribosomal RNA", at positions 338 to 795 of the family's 1533-position model. The record is from RNAcentral.